This 405-nucleotide ribosomal RNA is filed under the name uncultured bacterium. RNAcentral describes it as "partial 16S ribosomal RNA". It matches the Rfam family "Bacterial small subunit ribosomal RNA", at positions 33 to 526 of the family's 1533-position model. The record is from RNAcentral.
GACGACGCUGGCGGCGUGCUUAACACAUGCAAGUCGAACGAGCGGCGGACGGGUGAGUAAUGUCUGGGAAACUGCCCGAUGGAGGGGGAUAACUACUGGAAACGGUAGCUAAUACCGCAUACCAUCGGAUGUGCCCAGAUGGGAUUAGCUAGUAGGUGGGGUAACGGCUCACCUAGGCGACGAUCCCUAGCUGGUCUGAGAGGAUGACCAGCCACACUGGAACUGAGACACGGUCCAGACUCCUACGGGAGGCAGCAGUGGGGAAUAUUGCACAAUGGGCGCAAGCCUGAUGCAGCCAUGCCGCGUGUAUGAAGAAGGCCUUCGGGUUGUAAAGUACUUUCAGCGAGGAGGCGUUACUCGCAGAAGAAGCACCGGCUAACUCCGUGCCAGCAGCCGCGGUAAUUC